This 253-nucleotide ribosomal RNA is filed under the name uncultured bacterium. RNAcentral's name for it is "partial 16S ribosomal RNA". It matches the Rfam family "Bacterial small subunit ribosomal RNA", at positions 524 to 776 of the family's 1533-position model. The record is from RNAcentral.
UACGUAGGGGGCAAGCGUUGUCCGGAAUUAUUGGGCGUAAAGCGUGCGCAGGCGGUUUUGUAAGUCAGGUGUGAAAUCUCGGGGCUCAACCCCGAAACUGCACUUGAUACUGCGGUGCUCGAGUACUGGAGAGGAGAUUGGAAUUUACGGUGUAGCAGUGAAAUGCGUAGAUAUCGUAAGGAAGACCAGUGGCGAAGGCGAAUCUCUGGACAGUUACUGACACUGAGGCACGAAGGCCAGGGGAGCAAACGGG